UAGAGAGAGAGAAAGAGAGGUUGCGUGAAAGAGAGAGAAGGAGAAAGAGAAAGAAAGAAGGAGAAGGAGGAGAAGAAGAGAGGAGGGAUUCAAAAUCCAUAGGUGUUGGAGGCAAGCAAACAAGAGGGUGACCAUAGUUAUUUUGAGUUCUUUGAUUUCUAUAAAAGAAGGUAAUAAAUAGGGUUUCUCUUUGGCACGCGUGGUGAUGUGGGGAGUUCCGACGUCAGAGUGUGUAUCCUAUGGGCGAGCAAACGAUCAGCUUAAACGCCAAUUUUAAAGAAUGAUGUUAUGUUUUAUUUUGGUUUCAUAACUUAUCAAUGAGACUUGAAUUAUAUAUUUAUUUUUAAAAAAAUGUUGCAUGAGAACUCUUAUUUUAUUUUAAACUACUGGGCCCAACUUGCAUGUUUUAGCAAGGACCCACUGAAAUUUUCAUAUUAUAAGAGGUUUUCUUUUAUAAGUUUAUGAGCAUGGAAAUGUUUUACAAAGUAUUA
This is a long non-coding RNA of Humulus lupulus (European hop), 491 nucleotides long. RefSeq lists it as uncharacterized. Lineage: Eukaryota; Viridiplantae; Streptophyta; Magnoliopsida; Rosales; Cannabaceae. The transcript is spliced from 3 exons. The record is from RefSeq and is a predicted model, not a curated record.